RNAcentral lists this ribosomal RNA (454 nucleotides) under uncultured bacterium. Its description in RNAcentral is "partial 16S ribosomal RNA". It matches the Rfam family "Bacterial small subunit ribosomal RNA", at positions 28 to 507 of the family's 1533-position model. The record is from RNAcentral.
GAUGAACGCUGACAGAAUGCUUAACACAUGCAAGUCAACUUGAACUUCGGUUUGGGUGGCGGACGGGUGAGUAACGCGUAAAGAACUUGCCUCACAGCUAGGGACAACAUUUGGAAACGAAUGCUAAUACCUGAUAUUAUGAUUAUAUGGCAUCGUAUAAUUAUGAAAGCUAUAUGCGCUGUGAGAGAGCUUUGCGUCCCAUUAGCUAGUUGGAGAGGUAACAGCUCACCAAGGCGAUGAUGGGUAGCCGGCCUGAGAGGGUGAUCGGCCACAAGGGGACGGAGACACGGCCCUUACUCCUACGGGAGGCAGCAGUGGGGAAUAUUGGACAAUGGACCGAGAGUCUGAUCCAGCAAUUCUGUGUACACGAUGAAGUUUUUCGGAAUGUAAAGUGCUUUCAGUUGGGAAGAAAAAAAUGACGGUACCAACAGAAGAAGUGACGGCUAAAUACGUG